This 570-nucleotide ribosomal RNA is filed under the name uncultured soil bacterium. RNAcentral describes it as "bacterial SSU rRNA". It matches the Rfam family "Bacterial small subunit ribosomal RNA", at positions 337 to 1533 of the family's 1533-position model. The record is from RNAcentral.
UCCUACGGGAGGCAGCAGUGGGGAAUAUUGGACAAUGGGCGCAAGCCUGAUCCAGCCAUACCGCGUGGGUGAAGAAGGCCUUCGGGUUGUAAAGCCCUUUUGUUGGGAAAGAAAAGCAUUCGGUUAAUACCCGGGUGUUCUGACGGUACCCAAAGAAUAAGCACCGGCUAACUUCGUGCCAGCAGCCGCGGUAAUACGAAGGGUGCAAGCGUUACUCGGAAUUACUGGGCGUAAAGCGUGCGUAGGUGGUGGUUUAAGUCCGUUGUGAAAGCCCUGGGCUCAACCUGGGAAUUGCAGUGGAUACUGGAUCACUCGAGUGUGGUAGAGGAUAGUGGAAUUUCCGGUGUAGCAGUGAAAUGCGUAGAGAUCGGAAGGAACAUCUGUGGCGAAGGCGACUAUCUGGGCCAACACUGACACUGAGGCACGAAAGCGUGGGGAGCAAACAGGAUUAGAUACCCUGGUAGUCCACGCCCUAAACGAUGCGAACUGGAUGUUGGGUUCAACUUGGAACCCAGUAUCGAAGCUAACGCGUUAAGUACGCACAUCUCUGCCUAAUUCCUUUAAAUUUUC